AUGAUGAUUCGCCCAGAACUCGAUUACUAUGCAGUGUUGAAUGUUUCUCGGGAUGCGCCCAAGGAGGAUAUAACGCUUUCGUAUCGAAAAUUAGCCAUACAAUUGUGCCCACAUCGUGACCCAAAGUAUGAACGUGACUUUGUUUCUAUUUUGGGACCCACUCAUAUGCAACCUUUAUCUUUGAAUCGCCAAUGGGAAUACAUUAAUAUGGCUUACGAUGUUUUAGGUAAUGAUUUGCAUAGAGCCAUUUACGAUCGUUUCGGUGAGGCAGGACUGUUUCAAGGAAUACAAUUGCCAAACGGUUACUUUCCACCUUAUCAAUAUCACGGCGAUCAUAUGAAAGUCUAUCACGAUGUUUUUGGCAGUUAUUCACCUUACGCGAACAUUAUUGAUAUUGUUACAAAUCCUCCAUUACUAUAUUCUACCCUGGAACAUGGUAUUGGGGUACGCACAAAGGACCCGCCCGUGGAGAAAAUAAUUUAUUUAGAAUUGGAAGAGGUAUUUAAAGGAUGUACUAAAUUAAUGCAUGUUUGGAGGCAAGAAUUCCUUGAUUCCAAAGAAGAACGUACAGAGAAGAGAAAAAAGACACUGAAGCUCAAAAUACAACCAGGCACUACCCCAGGUACACGAUUUUGCUUCAAAGAGGAAGGCGACCGUAGCCCAACAAAAAUUCCCGCGGACAUUAUAUUUAUUACAGCUGAUAAGCCGCAUCCGGCAUUCGAACGUAGUCAACAUCACAACUUAGUCUAUACUCAUAAUAUAACUUUAAAGGAUGCACUUGUGGGGUUUAGUUUCACAAUACGAACUUUGGAUAAACGUUCAAUAAAGGUUAACAUUUCGGAUGUUGUUAAUCCCGACUAUAUCAAAGUAAUGCCAAGAGAGGGACUACCAAUUUGUGAAAAUAUACCGAUCGCCCCUGAUAUGAGGCCAGCUGGAGUCAAGAAGAAGAAGUUUGGAGAUCUAAUAAUUAAAUUUCAAGUCUUUAGUUUUUGAGACUGUCCCAACUUUCUUGGAUUCCAUUUCAUUUAUUUUUAUUGAUAUUUUGAGAACCCACUGUCACAGCACUGCUGGGCGCAGUAUAUUGAGCGCAGCGUUUAAGUUGAAUAUCCAAAAUUCAUGACAAACAAAAUGCGGAUUCUAACUAGAGAAUUGUUUUGUGAAUUACAAGAGCUCCAAAAAGAAGCAG
This 1186-nucleotide unclassified non-coding RNA is filed under the name Ceratitis capitata (Mediterranean fruit fly). Its description in RNAcentral is "dnaJ homolog subfamily B member 13, transcript variant X2". Lineage: Eukaryota; Metazoa; Arthropoda; Insecta; Diptera; Tephritidae. The record is from RNAcentral.